UGGAUCCAGACUUUGAUUAUGGCUCAGGACGAACGCUGGCGGCGCGCCUAACACAUGCAAGUCGAACGAGAGAGAGGGAGCUUGCUUCCUCGAUCGAGUGGCGAACGGGUGAGUAACGCGUGAGGAACCUGCCUCAAAGAGGGGGACAACAGUUGGAAACGACUGCUAAUACCGCAUAAGCCCACAGUUCGGCAUCGAGCAGAGGGAAAAGGAGCAAUCCGCUUUGAGAUGGCCUCGCGUCCGAUUAGCUAGUUGGUGAGGUAACGGCCCACCAAGGCGACGAUCGGUAGCCGGACUGAGAGGUUGAACGGCCACAUUGGGACUGAGACACGGCCCAGACUCCUACGGGAGGCAGCAGUGGGGAAUAUUGCACAAUGGGGGAAACCCUGAUGCAGCGACGCCGCGUGGAGGAAGAAGGUCUUCGGAUUGUAAACUCCUGUUGUUGAGGAAGAUAAUGACGGUAC
RNAcentral lists this ribosomal RNA (464 nucleotides) under uncultured organism. RNAcentral's name for it is "bacterial SSU rRNA". It matches the Rfam family "Bacterial small subunit ribosomal RNA", at positions 1 to 478 of the family's 1533-position model. The record is from RNAcentral.